GGACCGGUCGUCUAGUUUGGUUUGGAUGACGCACUCACACUGCGUAAGAGAGUAUUCUCCGCAAAGGUCGUGGGUUCAAAUCCCAUCCGGUCCA
Marine Group I thaumarchaeote SCGC AAA799-P11 is the source of this 94-nucleotide transfer RNA. It matches the Rfam family "tRNA". Rfam says of the family: Transfer RNA (tRNA) molecules are approximately 80 nucleotides in length. Their secondary structure includes four short double-helical elements and three loops (D, anti-codon, and T loops). Further hydrogen bonds mediate the characteristic L-shaped molecular structure. tRNAs have two regions of fundamental functional importance: the anti-codon, which is responsible for specific mRNA codon recognition, and the 3' end, to which the tRNAs corresponding amino acid is attached (by aminoacyl-tRNA synthetases). tRNAs cope with the degeneracy of the genetic code in two manners: having more than one tRNA (with a specific anti-codon) for a particular amino acid; and 'wobble' base-pairing, i.e. permitting non-standard base-pairing at the 3rd anti-codon position. Lineage: Archaea; Thermoproteati; Nitrososphaerota. The record is from Rfam.